UUAUUUCAGCUUGAGCAUGGUCGUAAGCCCUGCUAGUUCGAUUAUCAUCAUCAAUUUCUCUCCAAGCAUCAUCUUUUUCGAAAGCAGCAGGACAGUUUCAGAAGGAAUAAGAUAGAGAAAGAUCAUAUACCCAAGCACCUCAGUAGUAUGGAAGUAUUUCAGAGGAUAUCUCAAUUGGAUGAAGUUCUGUUUGGCAUUGAAUUUGACAAGUAGAAGCCUCGA
RNAcentral lists this long non-coding RNA (222 nucleotides) under Elaeis guineensis (African oil palm). Its description in RNAcentral is "long non-coding RNA (EGUI_LNC007639)". The record is from RNAcentral. Lineage: Eukaryota; Viridiplantae; Streptophyta; Magnoliopsida; Arecales; Arecaceae.